Artibeus jamaicensis (Jamaican fruit-eating bat) is the source of this 1231-nucleotide long non-coding RNA. RefSeq lists it as uncharacterized. The transcript has 4 exons. The record is from RefSeq and is a predicted model, not a curated record. Lineage: Eukaryota; Metazoa; Chordata; Mammalia; Chiroptera; Phyllostomidae.
AAGCGGGUACCCAUUUAGGGCCAAGUAGGCGGUGCAUCGUAGGCGAACCGAAUCGUUUCCUUGGAGGAACCUCCUAUGGUCGUCUACGCCGCAGCCACUCGUUUCCUUGUGGGUUGGGACACUGACUCCGCCCCCAGGUCAGGUCCGUCCCCUCCCGCGGUGAAGGUGAAUAAAACGUAACCUGGAACGAAACGGGGUCAAAUCCCCGCGAGCUCCAAUCCUGAAGGGCGCAGGGCGAGUCUCCCAACCUCGGGGUGAAGCCCGAACCACAGAUUCGGGGCGACCCCGGCCCGUCCGUGGUGAAGUGCAUCGAGCUGGAACCCGGGCGCCGGUGGCUCCCCGUGUUCGCUCUGGCUGUAGCGGGCGUGCAGCCUGUUCGAUUUCGCUGGCACAGUCUGUUCCUGGGCUUGAUUUCCCGCGUCUGCUCGUCCUACUUCACUGGAUCCUUCCGCUUCUCUCACGGAGGCUCCCUCCACGGUACCCGCGGCUCCAGCCUGGGCCUCGGGGCAUCGCUGUAGAGCCGCAAGACCCGGGUAUCGCCCACGUAGCCGACGACGCUGUACCGGUUCUUCAGAGGCAGGAAAAUUUCCCCUGCCGACAGAUCCCCUCUACUCGGGGAGGCCGUGCCCCGAACCUGCUCGGAGCAGCGUGUCCUUCCCCUUCUCCAGGAGGCGGUGGAGGCGGCGCACGCAGGUGUCCUGCAGGAAGAAUCUCCUGACGUCCGCAUCAGGGAGCAGCACCAACUCGCGCCAGGUGAUCUGGGGCGCCAUGGCUGUGGUGGUCCAGGAGCGCAGGUCCUCAUGCAGGGAGAGGAAUUCGGUGCCGUCGUAGGCGAACUGACUGAACCCGUGGAGGAAGCGCCCGUCCAACCCGACGAGGCAGCCGGUCAUUUCCUGGAGGGUGUGAGACCCUGACGCCCCCCAAGGGCACCCUCGGCUCCAGUCUGGAACUGGAGGCGUCACUAUGGAACCGCAGGAUCUCCGUGUCGUCCAGGUAGAUGACGACGGUGUAGCGGUUCUUCUCGCCGAGGGGAGUGAUUUACAGGAAACUCCUAUGAUGCCGCUGCUUUAAUUUGGUUAUAGAGGGAUCUUAUCUGAGAGAUGACCAGGGACAUCACUGAGGGGGACAUGCAGUAACUUCUGUGGUGGACAUAACUGAGAAUGCUCAUCGACUGGAAAUGAAAUCUGCCCAGCACGCUGAACUGACUGCUCUAACUUGGGCUUGUCCCCUG